Long non-coding RNA from Poecilia latipinna (sailfin molly), 1684 nucleotides. RefSeq lists it as uncharacterized. The record is from RefSeq and is a predicted model, not a curated record. The transcript has 3 exons. NCBI's taxonomy places the organism in Eukaryota, Metazoa, Chordata, Actinopteri, Cyprinodontiformes, Poeciliidae.
UGUUUAUUUCCUAGUUGCCUUGAGAAACUUCUUGAAUGAUGGGUGGUGACGGACUGGGGAGGUCCGCAAUCCUCAAUACUGUACCGACGUUUCAAGAUGGCAUCUCAUUAUGUAUUAUUAUUAAUUAACCUUUAUUUUUGCACAGCAUACCGAUUUGUGCUUUGAUACUGUCACUCUAAAGAACAGCUUAUUGUAUACAGUUAAAGAAAAAUGUCAUUUUUGCAUUCCUGUGCAUUUUGUCCCAAAGGUUUUGUUUACUUGUUUGUUUUUUCUUGACUUGUGCCAUAUGUUUAGAGAAUGAGAGAGAGAUCACCGACGUCCUUACUUUGUUUUUUAAAAGGCCUUGAUAUUCGAGGAGUGUUUGUGGGUCUCAAUCUGUACCUGUUGGUCUUUGAAGGCAACAUAGUGCAGUAAUGCUUGCAUCGAUCUGUCCUCUGCCUCUUCAGCCGCAUCUAGCCUCAUCCCUCAAACGCUUCAGUGUCUUUUUGCUCACUUUUUCCAGAUCAGUUCUCAGCCUCUGGAUGCCCCCAGAUGCUCAGUGCUGUGCAAUUUCAAUAUUCAGCCAGGAGAGGGGGCUGUCGUUCUAAUUUUCUUCCCCCACCUCAGUAAAAGAAAGGCAUUCAUGAUUUUUUUUAAUGGUUUUUAAAGCUCAUAUCAAUUUGAAAGUAUGCACAUUGCUGUUAAUAAAAGGUUAAGCAACCGCUUCCUGUCUCUUUUUUUUUUACAUGGAUAUCAAAAAGGGAAAUUAAAACCAAUGGAAUUAUUACACAAUGAUGUAUUUCAAUAGUUUAUUUUUAUUUGUUUUAUUGAUUAUUACAAACUAGAGCUGGAUGAUAAAUCAGUAAUAUAUGUAUUAUGACACACACUCGAUCAAUAUUAGAUCUCACUUGAAUGCACAGCAUUCUGGGAGAUGUAGGCAGAGGAAAGACUAGCAGUUGGCUAAGCUAGGUCGUGAGAGGAAGUGAGUGAGCAUCAACUCGCUCGCUCUUUGCUAGUCAACUGGUUGUUGCCUAGUAACAGCCAGUUGCUAGUAACAACCAAUUGACUAUCUUGCAUAGCUGCAGUUUCAGGUUUCGCCGUAGUUCCUCAUAACUGCUUAAGCGGCGUGGCGUGAAAACUGGAUAAAACGGGAAAGGUUAAGUCAUUAGUAUAACAGUAUUUCAAAUAUUUACCAAAACGAAAAAAUGGUUAACAGGCAACCGUGAAUAUAGACUGAAACGUUUAUAUCGUAAGUUCUUCAGCGAUGUCGUCCAGCCCUAGCUUAAAAUUUAUGAAAACUAAUAACAUUUGAAUAUUUUAUUAGACCAACAGGCAUUUUAUUACCUAUUGUCAAAGAUAUUACGACUUGCUUUUGGACACGCAUGACUUUUAAAGAGUGAAGCAUUUUAAAAAGGCACUGAAAUAAGCUUUCUCUUGGCCACUUUCCAUUGGGGCAGAUCCAGCACUCACUGGAGGGACCGUGUAACCCUUCUGACCUGGAACUCUUUGGGAUCUCCCUGGAUGAGCUGGAAAGCGUAACCCUGGAGACGGAUAUCUGGGUUUCCCUCGUGCAGCUCGAUCUCAGACACAAAGCUUCAGUUCAGCAGAGCUUGUGCCAGAACCACUGCAGGAUUUAGAGCCAAACUGAAGAUUCAGUAUCAAAAGAAGAACAAUCCUUCUUCCUGAAAAGGCGGAGCCUCUAAAU